RNAcentral lists this ribosomal RNA (468 nucleotides) under uncultured bacterium. Its description in RNAcentral is "partial 16S ribosomal RNA". It matches the Rfam family "Bacterial small subunit ribosomal RNA", at positions 28 to 507 of the family's 1533-position model. The record is from RNAcentral.
GACGAACGCUGGCGGCGUGCUUAACACAUGCAAGUCGAACGGAAAGGCCCUGCUUUUGUGGGGUGCUCGAGUGGCGAACGGGUGAGUAACACGUGAGUAACCUGCCCUUGACUUUGGGAUAACUUCAGGAAACUGGGGCUAAUACCGGAUAGGAGCUCCUGCUGCAUGGUGGGGGUUGGAAAGUUUCGGCGGUUGGGGAUGGACUCGCGGCUUAUCAGCUUGUUGGUGGGGUAGUGGCUUACCAAGGCUUUGACGGGUAGCCGGCCUGCGAGGGUGACCGGCCACAUUGGGACUGAGAUACGGCCCAGACGCCUACGGGAGGCAGCAGUGGGGAAUAUUGCACAAUGGGCGGAAGCCUGAUGCAGCAACGCCGCGUGCGGGAUGACGGCCUUCGGGUUGUAAACCGCUUUCGCCUGUGACGAAGCGUGAGUGACGGUAAUGGGUAAAGAAGCACCGGCUAACUACGUG